This is a small nucleolar RNA of Suncus etruscus (white-toothed pygmy shrew), 133 nucleotides long. RefSeq annotates it as small nucleolar RNA SNORA51. The record is from RefSeq and is a predicted model, not a curated record. Lineage: Eukaryota; Metazoa; Chordata; Mammalia; Eulipotyphla; Soricidae. The transcript has a single exon.
GGCCUCCCAAUUCUUACCACAUGUUGAGUUCUUUAUACUGACUGUAUAGAAAGUGGAGGUACAGUAAAUGCACCCCAUACACACCUCAACCCAGGCCCUUUCCCUGGUCUGUAUUGUGAAUUGGGGGACACAA